GAAUCAACGCUGGCGGCGUGCCUCAGACAUGCAAGUCGAACGCGAAAGUCCCCCUCGGGGGACAAGUAGAGUGGCGCACGGGUGAGUAACACGUAGGUAAUCUACCUUCGGGUGGGGAAUAACAAUCGGAAACGGUUGCUAAUACCGCAUAAUGCAGCGGCACCUAAUGGUGACAGUUGUUAAAGCGGGGGAUCGCAAGAUCUCGCGCCUG
RNAcentral lists this ribosomal RNA (211 nucleotides) under uncultured bacterium. Its description in RNAcentral is "partial 16S ribosomal RNA". It matches the Rfam family "Bacterial small subunit ribosomal RNA", at positions 27 to 221 of the family's 1533-position model. The record is from RNAcentral.